AAUGAGGUAGCUCAGUAGGUAGAGCAACAGGAAAAUUCGCAGGUUCGAGUCCUGCCAUCA
Molecule: transfer RNA, 60 nt
Filed under: Flectobacillus sp.
Lineage: Bacteria; Pseudomonadati; Bacteroidota; Cytophagia; Cytophagales; Flectobacillaceae
Description: tRNA-Ser
Rfam family: tRNA
About the family: Transfer RNA (tRNA) molecules are approximately 80 nucleotides in length. Their secondary structure includes four short double-helical elements and three loops (D, anti-codon, and T loops).
Source: RNAcentral